Molecule: long non-coding RNA, 462 nt
Organism: Eptesicus fuscus (big brown bat)
Lineage: Eukaryota; Metazoa; Chordata; Mammalia; Chiroptera; Vespertilionidae
Exons: 3
Source: RefSeq, a predicted model, not a curated record
UCUACCCCAGUCUCCAUGCGUUCACCAGCCAAGGAGCUCCGGGAACCUCAUCUAUUCGUGUGUUUAUGGAGGCUGCAUCACACAAGCAUGAUUGAUCAAAUCAUUUGGCCAUUGCCUCUGCGCCCUCCAGGACAGCCUCAGUACCAGUGCAGAGGAGGCUUUGGAGAGGGUAGUGGUGAGAAGAAUGCUUCUGACUCUGGAUACCCAGUGAAACUGUUGUCAAGAGCCUUUCUAGGGCUGGCAGAAAAACGCAGCAAUGAGGGAAGAAUAAUGUCUUAAAACAAAGAGGUGAAGAAACUGAGGCCUGGAGAGUCAAGUGACCUGCUCAGAGUCCCACCGUAUCAGGAACUAGAAUGUCCGUCCAGGCAAGAGGCUUUCUGCCAACCAGCUGCGCUGUAAUAACUCAAUUACUCAACAUUGGACACUUUCACUUGGCAAACAAGUAAUCCUAAAAGAAGAAGA